UAAAAUGCAGCAUUCCAGUGCAUCCCAACCAUGCCUUUACAGUCAAGGUUUCUGACGGAGCUGAGUUUCUCUCUGACAGUCUGCUGAAAGUGUUUGCAAAGUGAUCGGGGGAACAGUGCACAAAGCUAAAGGAUGUAGCUGCCAUGAUGACAGAUGACAUUAAUGCUCAAAGGGGGUCUCAUCAAAGUGCUCCGCAUCUGUGUGAAAGACAAUUGCAACAUCUUGGUGCAGGAGUUCAUGGACUUGACUGAGGCCACUGCACAGAUUGAGAAAACCACAAUGAACAUCUGUCUCCAGAGAUGCGCCAGGCAAUGACUUUUCUGAUGUUGGCAUCAUCAUCGAGGGUAUAGUAGUUCUUCAAGAUCUGGAUAACGUGACCUUUGCAGUAGCCAUGCUGUUUGGACCUUUUUUAUUCCUUCAAUAUGAGUUACCCAUCACAGCUCUGCUACACUUUUGAGGUGAUUCAAUGGGUGGUAAUGGAGUUGGAUGCAACUCAGCUCUCAAGAAAAGCUCACAACUAAGACAAAACUGCUCCUGCAAGGAAAGCUCACUGUUAUGCAUGCAAGGUGAUCAGCUCUAGGUGAGAGGACAUUUAAAUCUCACACUUGUUCUGCUGCAUUUUUGAAGCUCAAUUCCAGGAGCAGAUCGCAGGGUUCAUUUUUAUAUACUCUGCAACUGCCAUGAGGACAAGCUGUUUUUGUUGUUGUUGUUUGUUUUUCCUUUUGCUCUGUACAAGUUCUCUGUUUGUCUGUUUGGCAGCAUUUUUCAAUUUCUGUUUGUAUUUUUUCUUUCUUUUACUAGUGAAGAGAUGUAGCGUGAACAGUUAUACAGUCUAAAUAUCCCAUAUGGGUCGUGUGAAAUGGUAUUUUCAGUUUCAUUCAGUUGAAGUAAAGAACGUUGAAUAUUUCUAAGUAUGCUGUUUUGAACCAAGAUGUCACAGUAUGAUCAGUGCUGUAAUUUUUGACAGUCACUGUAUCAAUGUUAUUUUUGCGUCUCUUGAAUAAAGUUUUUGACCUGCAA
Astatotilapia calliptera (eastern happy) is the source of this 1020-nucleotide long non-coding RNA. NCBI's taxonomy places the organism in Eukaryota, Metazoa, Chordata, Actinopteri, Cichliformes, Cichlidae. The record is from Ensembl.